CUUCCCUUCAAACUUACGGAACAGUCUGUAAAACUCGACCAAAAAUAAUUAUGUCUGGAGUCAAGGGACAGACGAAAUGCCCAGAUCCAUGCCAAGAUCCUUGCCCACCACGAUGCCCACCAACAAAGCAAUGUCAGGAUCCUUGCGACCCAUGCCCCAAGCCAGUUCCUCAAUGCCCAGAUCCCUGCAAACCGGCUCCCCAGCACUGUCAUCAGGACGUGAAGUGCGUGAAGAAGUGUUAAUAUGAUGGAAUCCUGUGAUGAAACUGCUGUCUGCUUCUUUGCUUAACAAAUGAUAUCUAGCGCGACAUCUGAAAAACAAACAUUCCGUUGUCCUUUUAAUGAUUACCUAGUGGUACCCAGUUUCCUCUGGUGACAACGCAGUUCACCAUUUGCUGUAUGAGCCAAUCAACAUUGAAUUAAA
This is a long non-coding RNA of Pelobates fuscus (common spadefoot toad), 423 nucleotides long. RefSeq lists it as uncharacterized. Lineage: Eukaryota; Metazoa; Chordata; Amphibia; Anura; Pelobatidae. The record is from RefSeq and is a predicted model, not a curated record. The transcript has 3 exons.